UGCUCUUCCGCGACGGCCGGCCCGACGGCAUCGUGGCGCGACAGCGGGCCCUGACGUAAGUGAGGGGCCGCCGUAAACGGGGCUUGUCGUAAACGGGGCCCCGACGGAAGAGAAGCUGGGAAAGCAGCGCCGCUUAAGGGCCGCGAGGGAUGCGGAGGGGGAGGAUCACCUGCGUAAGCGGGCCCUGCGGCUGCCCUUCACCUUGGCCACAGGGGAGGCCAUCCUGUAUGAGAGCAGCCUCCCUGGCCCCCUGACUGCCCUCCCAGCCAGCAAGAGGACCAGGGCAAGGCAGGGUGCCCCCACUGGCCAGGACCCUGUGUGCCCAGCCUCUCUUCUUGGAGCCGUGGUGCAGGAUGGAUCCACGUACUUGGCCUGCAUUCCACCAACCCCUCAAGGAUCACUCUUGGAGAGGUGGGGGUCUCAUGACAAACGUGAGGACAAGGAGGAGGAAGACAGCUCCCUCCUGACCCUCGAGAGCCUGCUGGAGAAGGACAUGGAAGAAGAGCCCAGUCUCUGCUCCACUCUCCAGCACCUGGGCGUCGCCAACCUCCACCAGCGUCAGUGGGGACAGGCCUUUCUCAGGGCUGACGCAGACCCUGCAGGGCCUCAGAACUGCUGCCUGCUGCCACCCAGCCGGGGAAGGAGCCUCUCCAGCAAGAGGGAGGUGCUUUCUCACAGCAGUGAGAAUGUGUGCUCAUCCCUACCAGCCUGCACAACUGCUCCACAGACCCUGAAGCCACUGUCUUCUCUGGACACGGGCCAGCUAACCAUGCCCUUAACCAUGGAAGUAAGUCCACUGCAGGAUGGGGACACAGUGCCCAGCUGCCCUCAAGCACACACUCAGCACUUUCCCACCUCUGGCCCUGCCCUCCAGAGCCCUCUGCAGUGGCAGCUUGGGCACAGCCCGGCAGCGCCUCUGAAUUGGGGGGUGUGCAAGAAACCAACAGUAUUUGGCUUUGUCCCACCGCCCAAGCCCCUGUCUCACAGCCAGUCGGCCCAGCUCUUUCAGCCAAGCCACACACCUUCACUCCCUUUAGGAGGAACUAUCCCUGGACACCUGGCCCUGCCGGGCCGUGGGAAUCUGGAUUUCUGUGAGGAGUCCACGCACCGGGCACCUGCACGGAGUGAUCACUGUCAGGAGCCCCUCAUUGCCUCAGACCACACGUCCUUUGUCAACCCAUAUGGCACCUGUUCCUUGGACAGCAUUUGGGGUUUCCACAUCCAGGGCCAGCCAGAAGUGGUCCCUGGGCAAGUUGGGGCAGGGAAGGAGGCAGGACAGGCCCCACCUGACCGUUUCAGCCGCGCAUGGUCCACCAUGGCUGACCCCUGCCUUCUGUGGACAGGGCCAGCCAGUGACAUUCCUCCCAACUUGUGCAGGGGUCGGCCCCUAUCUGUGUACGGGGCCUUGGGUUCACCACAGCACACACCUGGGAGCCAAGAGCAGCCACCCCACGCCCUCUCAGGGAGCCCUGCCUGUCCGUCCCAGGUGCUUCCACAUGGACCCUUGGCUACUCGGGACUCUUAUGGUGCAGACUCAGGCCCAGUCACCAAGCAACAGCAGUGGGUGCAGAUGGGGCUGCAGACCCAGGGAACUUGCAAGCAAGUGAGAGAGGGGAUACCAAGUGUCCAGCAGCUGGGUGGCUGUGUGAGAGCUGCCAUUCCCCAAGCCCCACAGUUGAGCCCCCUCCUGUCCUCAGAGAGCAUCUCUCCCGGCACAGGAAGCAGCCAGGGCAACAGCCCCGCUGAGCCAACAAGGCAAAGCAAGAACAGACUGGCCGUGCCAGCACCAUGUGCUGUGGGCAGACAGCAGGUGCAGUCUAGCCCAGCCCUGCCUCCCUGCCCUCCUGUUCCUGCCUGGCCACCCCCAUCCACGCAGGGUGGCCACAACUUCCAGCAGUGUCACCAAAACAAAGUACAUCGCACCACGGCACUUAGGGUUCCAGGCCCAAAAGGGAGCUCGUCUUCCUCCAAAUUCUGA
This 1978-nucleotide long non-coding RNA is filed under the name Sus scrofa (pig). RNAcentral describes it as "lncRNA (ENSSSCG00005008692.1)". The record is from RNAcentral. Lineage: Eukaryota; Metazoa; Chordata; Mammalia; Artiodactyla; Suidae.